Long non-coding RNA from Amblyraja radiata (thorny skate), 137 nucleotides. RefSeq lists it as uncharacterized. The transcript is spliced from 3 exons. The record is from RefSeq and is a predicted model, not a curated record. Lineage: Eukaryota; Metazoa; Chordata; Chondrichthyes; Rajiformes; Rajidae.
AUACUUAUAGUCUUGUUGUGUUUGGAUCUGUCUGCGUGCAUGUGAGCGAUCUCAAGGAACUACGCCAAAACUCUACACAAUAGCGUGAAAAUAUUUGCAGAACCUUACUCAGCUUUUUCCCUUUUUCUGGUGAACCU